Molecule: ribosomal RNA, 407 nt
Filed under: uncultured bacterium
Lineage: Bacteria
Description: bacterial SSU rRNA
Rfam family: Bacterial small subunit ribosomal RNA
Source: RNAcentral
AUUGAACGCUGGCGGCAUGCCUUACACAUGCAAGUCGAACGGCAGCACGGGAGCAAUCCUGGUGGCGAGUGGCGAACGGGUGAGUAAUGUAUCGGAACGUACCUUUCAGUGGGGGAUAACGUAGCGAAAGUUAACGCUAAUACCGCAUAUUCUGUGAGCAGGAAAGCAGGGGAUCGCAAGACCUUGCGCUGAUUGAGCGGCCGAUAUCAGAUUAGCUAGUUGGUGAGGUAAAGGCUCACCAAGGCGACGAUCUGUAGCGGGUCUGAGAGGAUGAUCCGCCACACUGGAACUGAGACACGGUCCAGACUCCUACGGGAGGCAGCAGUGGGGGAAUUUUGGCAAUGGGCGCAAGCCUGAUCCAGCCAUGCCGCGUGAGUGAAGAAGGCCUGGUUGUAAGACUCUUUCAG